Molecule: ribosomal RNA, 497 nt
Filed under: uncultured bacterium
Lineage: Bacteria
Description: partial 16S ribosomal RNA
Rfam family: Bacterial small subunit ribosomal RNA
Source: RNAcentral
GACGAACGCUGGCGGCGUGCCUAAUACAUGCAAGUUGAGCGAUGAAGAUUGGUGCUUGCACCAAUUUGAAGAGCAGCGAACGGGUGAGUAACGCGUGGGGAAUCUGCCUUUGAGCGGGGGACAACAUUUGGAAACGAAUGCUAAUACCGCAUAACAACUUUAAACAUAAGUUUUAAGUUUGAAAGAUGCAAUUGCAUCACUCAAAGAUGAUCCCGCGUUGUAUUAGCUAGUUGGUGAGGUAAAGGCUCACCAAGGCGAUGAUACAUAGCCGACCUGAGAGGGUGAUCUGCCACAUUGGGACUGGGACACGGCCCAAACUCCUACGGGAGGCAGCAGUAGGGAAUCUUCGGCAAUGGACGAAAGUCUGGCCGAGCAACGCCGCGUGAGUGAAGAAGGUUUUCGGAUCGUAAAACUCUGUUGGUAGAGAAGAACGUUGGUGAGAGUGGAAAGCUCAUCAAGUGACGGUAACUACCCAGAAAGGGACGGCUAACUACGUG